This 844-nucleotide long non-coding RNA is filed under the name Cavia porcellus (domestic guinea pig). Its description in RNAcentral is "lncRNA (ENSCPOG00000037097.1)". Lineage: Eukaryota; Metazoa; Chordata; Mammalia; Rodentia; Caviidae. The record is from RNAcentral.
CAGGUCUCACUGGUGAUGCCACAGCAGUUCCUCCCUGAAUCUCUACUGGAUGGUCUCUUCUUUCCUAUCAGGACUACGUGACCUGUUGAGUGAUUACCUCUGGGACCAGUUUGUUUACUUCAAGGGAAAAAUUCACUGAACAGCCAUCAGCUACAUUCCAGAACAUUAGCCAACCACUCUGCAAAUGCACACAGUGUGGGUCUAGCACUGUCUGCCACCACUCUUGGAGAAGCAUCAUACAGAAGGGACAAAGAUUUGCUUCCAGAUGCCACUGUGGGCUCUGAAAGCAGGAACUUCAGUGAGCGGCUCUUUCCUGCUUUUGGACUACUAAUAAAAGGCCACUGGAAGUUUUAGUCUCUGGAAAUUCAUGGGACUCUACUCUUUCAAGAAGGUACUUUUGUACUUUGUACUUGAUUACCAGAGAACUUCAGUUUGAAGAUUAUGUUCCAGGACAAUGUUUGAAACUGCAAACUGCAGGGCUCAGAAUAUAUUUAUCACUCUGUGUUGUUCUGCUCCACUUGCAAGUCAUGAGCCAAAGGUACAGUUCCAUAUUUAGACUCUGACAGCCUCAUGGGUCACCUGUUAGAACAGCAGUUAGGACUCCAGGUAGAUUUGCUCUCUUUCCGCCUCCCUUGUCCUCACUUGGAUCUGCUUUACAAGUUUCACGUUGAUUAACAUGGUUACUGAAGUAGAAUGUGGUUCAUCAUUACUAAGCUGAUCCAAAUGAGUUUGGAAUUUACCUCCAUGAAGCACAAUUCUGCCUGCAUUUCUUCAUCUUUGCUUAAACCCAACACCUGCUGGAAGGUAAAGCUGGAUGCCCUGGUGUGCAAUCCAUGGAACAGUG